Molecule: ribosomal RNA, 523 nt
Filed under: Raorchestes wynaadensis
Lineage: Eukaryota; Metazoa; Chordata; Amphibia; Anura; Rhacophoridae
Description: partial 16S ribosomal RNA
Rfam family: Bacterial large subunit ribosomal RNA
Source: RNAcentral
CCAGCCUGCCCAGUGAUAAAUUUAACGGCCGCGGUACCCUAACCGUGCAAAGGUAGCAUAAUCACUUGUUCUUUAAAUAAGGACUUGUAUCAACGGCAUCACGAGGGUUUUACUGUCUCCUCUCUCCAAUCGGUGAAACUGAUCUUCCCAUGAAAAAGUGGGGAUAAACUUAUAAGACGAGAAGACCCCAUGGAGCUUUAAAACCUAUAGCAACCUAGCAAAACAUUUCCAUCUAGCUAUAAAACAAUGCUCAAGGACUUUAGGUUGGGAGGACCACGGAGCACAAGAUAACCUCCGUAAUGAAAAGAAUAAAAUCUUUACCAAAGAGCCACAACUCUAAGAAUUAGAAAACUAACGUACAUGACCCGAUAUCGAUCAAUGAACUAAGUUACCCUGGGGAUAACAGCGCAAUCCACUCUGAGAGUUCAUAUCGACGAGCGGGCUUACGACCUCGAUGUUGGAUCAGGGUAUCCUGGUGGUGCAGCCGCUACCGAAGGUUCGUUUGUUCAACGAUUAAAACCCU